This 29-nucleotide non-coding RNA is filed under the name Bombyx mori (domestic silkworm). The record is from RNAcentral. Lineage: Eukaryota; Metazoa; Arthropoda; Insecta; Lepidoptera; Bombycidae.
UGCAUUUGGGAUCAUGGCAAAUAAAUGGC